This 433-nucleotide ribosomal RNA is filed under the name uncultured bacterium. RNAcentral describes it as "partial 16S ribosomal RNA". It matches the Rfam family "Bacterial small subunit ribosomal RNA", at positions 29 to 507 of the family's 1533-position model. The record is from RNAcentral.
AACGAACGCUGGCGGCAUGCCUAACACAUGCAAGUCGAACGAGACCUUCGGGUCUAGUGGCGCCCGGGUGCGUAACGCGUGGGAACCUGCCCUUAGGUUCGGCAUAACUCCCCGAAAGGGGUGCUAAUACCGGAUAAUGUCUUCGGACCAAAGAUUUAUCGCCUUUGGAUGGGCCCGCGUUGGAUUAGCUAGUUGGUAGGGUAAAAGCCUACUAAGGCGACGAUCCAUAGCUGGUCUGAGAGGAUGAUCAGCCACACUGGGAUUGGGACACGGCCCAGACUCCUACGGGAGGCAGCAGUGGGUAAUAUUGGACAAUGGGCGAAAGCCUGAACCAGCAAUGCCGCGUGAGUGAUGAAGGCCUUAGGGUUGUAAAGCCCUUUUACCCGUGAUGAUAAUGACAGUACCUAGAGAAUAAGCUCCGGCUAACUCCGUG